UUUAAAAGCGUGCUAAUAUAGUAUAGCGUCACAUUUGAAAGCAUCGGUUAAAACUUUGGGAAAUGAAGAGUCACUGCAACAGAAUUAGAUUAUAGUGAUACAUUUUUUGAAUACUUUUAUGUAAGUGUUCUAUUUAUAUUAAAUUUUUUUUUAAAAAUCUAUUAACACCUAAAUAUAAACCCCAAUCUAAUCAAAAAUAAAAAGUUCUUUUACUCAACCAACCCAGCCAGCCUACUUGGUCCAAUGACAAAUAGAAAAGGAAAAAAAGAAAAAGACAAAUUGAUCACCAUUUCCUCUUCUCCUCCUUCACCGCUGUAGCCGACGAGGUAGGAUUCCAGCGGCUAGAGUUUGGCCGCGAGGAUCUCGCAAGAACCGUACAGAGUUACGAUUGCUACGUGUCCCUCCAUCACAAGUCGCUGGAGGAAUAUGUACCAAACAUCAAGGCGACCCUACAAAUAGCGAUCACACAUAUAGCAAUACUUUUAAAAAGUGUGGGUAAUUUAGCCACCAACAAUUUUUUUGACCUGUACCGAUAUUUAAAAAUGUCAUUAUACACCGUUUUUAUUGUGGUGAGUCAUCACGUAUAUAUUGACGCUUAUGCCAAGCGUCCGUACAAUAUAUUCCGACGCUAUAAAGCGUUAGAAUUUUCAGAAUUUUUUGAAAUCUUGACACUUUAAAGCAUCAAAAACUAAAAAUAAUUGCAAAAUUUAUCAUUUAAUAAAUUAGUUUGAUACAAUAGAGAGUUCAUGUGACAAUACUUUUUGAAGCAUUAGUAUUUACUGUAUUAUAGGGACGCUUCUUCCAAGCAUCGUUUAAAAAGCGUCCUUAUAAUGAAAUUUUUUUGUAGUGACUAAGAGAGUAUUUGGAAAUUAGGAUU
RNAcentral lists this long non-coding RNA (877 nucleotides) under Ananas comosus (pineapple). RNAcentral's name for it is "long non-coding RNA (ACOM_LNC002357)". The record is from RNAcentral. Lineage: Eukaryota; Viridiplantae; Streptophyta; Magnoliopsida; Poales; Bromeliaceae.